AAAUUGAAGAGUUUGAUCAUGGCUCAGAUUGAACGCUGGCGGCAGGCCUAACACAUGCAAGUCGAACGGUAACAGGAAGCAGCUUGCUGCUUCGCUGACGAGUGGCGGACGGGUGAGUAAUGUCUGGGAAACUGCCUGAUGGAGGGGGAUAACUACUGGAAACGGUAGCUAAUACCGCAUAACGUCGCAAGACCAAAGAGGGGGACCUUAGGGCCUCUUGCCAUCGGAUGUGCCCAGAUGGGAUUAGCUAGUAGGUGGGGUAACGGCUCACC
RNAcentral lists this ribosomal RNA (272 nucleotides) under Escherichia coli. Its description in RNAcentral is "partial 16S ribosomal RNA". It matches the Rfam family "Bacterial small subunit ribosomal RNA", at positions 1 to 269 of the family's 1533-position model. Lineage: Bacteria; Pseudomonadati; Pseudomonadota; Gammaproteobacteria; Enterobacterales; Enterobacteriaceae. The record is from RNAcentral.